Molecule: long non-coding RNA, 1021 nt
Filed under: Mus caroli (Ryukyu mouse)
Lineage: Eukaryota; Metazoa; Chordata; Mammalia; Rodentia; Muridae
Description: predicted gene 28492 (MGP_CAROLIEiJ_G0034489.1)
Source: RNAcentral
GUAUCCCCCAUGAAGUGGCGCUGAAAGAUCACGUUAGCACAGUCAUAUGAUGUGAAAUACCACAAGUCUGCAAUUUUUUGGUCUUGAGAGCCGUUGCUGGGCUAAGAGGAUGGAAAUCUUUCAGUAAUUAUACCAGUUUGUAUUCGUCUCACAUUUGGGACCAAAUACAAAUCCAAUCCACUCCUUCUCCCUGUGAAUAUUCAUAAAAAACAAAGUGCCAAUUCUGGGCUAAUCAUGUAUGGAACCAAAUAUGUUGAUGAGCCCUAAGUAUAUACUGUAUGUAUGUAUACAUAUGAAUGUAUAUAUUUAUACACAUUAAUUUUGCUUGUGUCCUCUGCUAUGCAAUUUGUUUGUUUAGUAUAGGGCUUGCUGUUAUAAUGUGUUAAUAAGCUGCUGAAAGCUUGGCACCUAUUACUUGAAAUGACAGCUAUGUUAGAAGCCUAUUAACACAGCUCUGCAGCUACUAGAAAUGAAUUUCAAAGAUGGUAAAUGAACAAAAGCGAUUCAUAUCUCUAAGAAAAGCAAACACUGUGCCCAGAACCAUAUACACUUUGAAAAGGUACAGUAUAUAAAACCUCUUUAACUCCCCCACUUAAAGAAACAGCGGAAGGGAACGUUUGGAGAAAGGAAAACUGCCUCUAAGAUUUCCAAACAACCUUGAAGACAUAAAUGUAAAGGAUACCACGCACAACUUCCUCUCUUUGUUUCUAUUGUGUUCUGAUGAGAACUGGGUUGGACAUAGGAAUAGAACAGUGCAGGUAGAGGAAAUUCUCUUUUCUCACCGUGAAAAAAAAAAAAAACAAUUAAAUCAUCUGGAUUUAGCUGAAACGUUUUUGUCCGUCUCUGGGUUUAAAAGGCCAGUGUCUGGCAUUGUUCUUGAAGCCAGGAUUUCUAUGAGUUGCUUGGCUCUGCCUUUGAACUGUUUUCCUUUCCUUUGACUGUCAUUGAAAGUUCACAAGAUGUCUCAAAGGUCUGGGUGAACUUUAGUUGUGAUUAUUAAAAUAAAGUGUGUUUAAGAAUA